This 55-nucleotide non-coding RNA is filed under the name Ramlibacter tataouinensis TTB310. RNAcentral describes it as "chromate-resist RNA". It matches the Rfam family "chrB-b RNA". Lineage: Bacteria; Pseudomonadati; Pseudomonadota; Betaproteobacteria; Burkholderiales; Comamonadaceae. The record is from RNAcentral.
ACGGGAAUUCAGCCUCCCGGUCCCCUCGGAUAGACGGUGUCCCGUCCAAGCGCUG